Molecule: non-coding RNA, 1438 nt
Organism: Acinonyx jubatus (cheetah)
Lineage: Eukaryota; Metazoa; Chordata; Mammalia; Carnivora; Felidae
Source: the annotation of a RefSeq genome assembly
CUGGGCUGAACUGGCCUGAGCUGAACUGGGAUGGGCUGAACUGGGCUGAGUUCAGCGGGGAUGAGCUAAGCUGGGCUAAACUGGGCUGGGCUGUACUAGGUUGAACUGAACUAGGCUAAGCUGGACUGAGCUGGCCUCAGCUGAACUCUGCUGGGCUGAGCUGGGCUAUAUUGGGUUGGGUUGGGCUAAAGUGGGUUCAGCUAGUUGGUUUGGUCUGGCUGAAUCGGGCUUCAGCGAGUCAAGCAGGGUGUACUGUUUUCCUAGGUCCAGUGGCCAAGGUCAGUGAGGCUACAUUGAGUGGGACUGAGCAGGUACGACAAGCCUGGCUGGCAGGCUGAGCCAAACGGAGCUGAAGGAUUUUGGUGGAAUUUGUGGACUGAACUCAGAUGAGUUAGCCUGCUUGAAAUCGGGUCUCCUGGGCUGACGUGGGCCAGGCCGGACCAAGGCAGACUCCCGUGACCUGAGCUGGUCUGAAUCAGCAGACCUAGUGAGGCUGGGAAUGGAGCGGGUUUGUAUCACUGCUCUCAGCCGUCCUGACGCGAGGCCACGUGGACUGGUCGGUCUCGCUGGACUGAGUGGGCAGCGUGGACGAUGAGCUGGGGUCUGGGCUCCGGGCAGGAGUCACCACCUGGGGGAGUGGGGGAGGACUGAUCUGGGCUUUGCUAUGAAUGGGGCCUGUAGUCGGGCUCCCUGGAGCCUCCGCAGGUCAGGACACGAGUCAGACACCUCUGCUCCCCAAGAACCCCCCGUUCCUGCCACUCAGGGCUGCGGGCAGGGUGUCCUGGCCAAAGCCUCCAUCCAGGCCCCCCUCGUCUUCCCCUUGGCCACCUGCUGCAAAGGCACCAUCGCCACUGCCCCGUCCGUGACACUGGGCUGCCUGGUCACGGGCUACUUCCCGAUGCCGGUGACUGUGACCUGGGAUGCAGGGUCCCUGAACAAGAGCGUCGUGACCCUCCCCGCCACCCUCCAGGAGACCUCUGGCCUCUACACCACCACCAGCCACGUGACCGUCUCGGGCGAGUGGGCCAAACAGAAGUUCACCUGCAGUGUGGCUCACGCGGAGUCCCCCACCAUCAACAAGACCGUCAGUGCGUGUGCCAUGAACUUCAUUCCCCCCACCGUGAAGCUCUUCCACUCCUCGCGUGACCCCCUCGGUGACACCCGUAGCACCAUCCAGCUCCUGUGCCUCAUCUCCGGCUACGUCCCAGGUGACAUGGAGGUCACCUGGCUGGUGGAUGGGCAGAAGGCCACGAACAUAUUCCCAUACGCUGCCACCGGCAAGCAGGAGGGCAAGGUGACCUCCACCCACAGCGAGCUCAACAUCACGCAGGGCAAUCGGGGUGCUGACUAUAGGGCUUGUCGGCACGAACAGACCUUCCAGUGGCCCUGCCACGAGGAGGGCAGGUGCCUGGGGCCCCAUGUGCCUAAUGCACGGUAG